UAAUCAAAUAAAUAAAUCAACUUUAGGACGGUACAGAUUUAUGGGGUUCAGUUUGAGUUACUUUAUCUUUGUCUUUAAAAAUCCCCCUUCAUGCAGCCUAACAAGCUGAAAAUAUUUUCUGUUUUCUUGAUUUUAGUCUGCAUCAUAUUGAACAAACAGAAGCCUGGAGUAACCCGAUUUGAAUUUUAAACUGUAUCACAGCCUCACUUGACACAGAUUUCUGAUUGGUUGAUCACGGUGGGAGGGAAAACUCAUUGGUUGACGUCACCAACGGGCCGGAAUCUGCAAGCGGGAGAAGUGCAGAGAACGAGAGAUUUUUGACGACCGUUUGUCGUAUUUUUUCUGCGUUUUAACAAUCCGUGGGAUGAAUCUCCAACAUUUUUUUUGCUUGUCUGGAAAAGAUUCAAAUAAAAUCUUUGAAGUUUGCACGGUGAUCUAAAUACACGUGAAAAUGAGUGAAUCAGAACCCAUGUUCCUCCACACUGCCAUUAUGGAGGUCCUACCAGAGCCACAAAAGACAUCCUGGAAGAACACUUGCAGUCCAUUGGAAUAAAUGGAGUUGUAUGAGGAUCUACGAUUCAUAGAAGAGGCUGACUUGCUGCCAGCUUUGAGACCUGUUCAAGCCCGGAAACGUCUUGCUCUCUGGAAAUUGAAAUACCAAACGCCAGAGAACAGCACAUCGUCAUCUGUUGAGACCUCACCAACACAAUCAUCAUCACUUUUGUUAUAGUCACCGAGAAGUUUGUCAUCCACAUCUUCCAGAAGCCGAGGACUGUACAUACAUUGACUGGGAGGACAGCUUUGAAAUUCCAUGGAAAAUGAUGAAAGCAAGACGUUUUUCCAAACUCUAAAAGGCUGCAGAUGAUGCGGGGAGAGCAGAGUGGCUGCUCAGAAGAGAUGAGAUGUUAAAGAGAUGCGCUUUCUUCUGCUCUGCUACUUUAAUGAGGAGGAUGCCAUGUUCUUGUAGAAGAUGCAGACGAGGUCCAGAUGCAGCAGGUGCCGUUGACUCCAACUGUUAUUGUAUGUGGACAGUCUUGCUUUUCCCCAAGGAGGUUCAUGCUGAGUUGGGACCGCUCCAUCGUACACAACAACAUUGCAGCACUGUGCCUGAUGUUCAGAAGCUACUUCUGCUUUAACAGUCAUUAUCCAACUGAGCUGGCUUCAACCCUGGAGUUUCUGCAAAGCUUAUGUCCUAAGAUGUGCCACUCUACCUGGUUGGGAACAAAUUGAAGAGGCCAAGCUCAAGAAAGCCUUUGUCAGCAAAUGUAGGGCAGAGCAGGUUCUAAGGCCACUGCUAUGAUCUACAGUAUGCGGACUGGUUUCUCUUCCAUCUUUUUUCUUAUUUUUAAUCUUAAUUUGGUUCUCAAAUUGGUUCAUGGAUUUGAUAGUCUGCAAGUUUCAGAGAAUGUUUUUAUGUUUAUGUUUUUAUAAUGUUUUUUUUUUUCAGUGUGUUGUUUAAAAUCUGGAAGUAUUCAUGACCAGCGUGUCAACCAGAUUGAGUAUGCCACGGUUUAUGUACUUAAUGCAUUUAAUAUUUUAAAAAGUGUCUAAUACUGCUACCACAAUUCAAAUGCUGUACUGAUGAUGGUGCUGCCCAAAUAAACUGUAAAGCAUUUA
Long non-coding RNA from Oryzias latipes (Japanese medaka), 1617 nucleotides. RefSeq lists it as uncharacterized. Lineage: Eukaryota; Metazoa; Chordata; Actinopteri; Beloniformes; Adrianichthyidae. The record is from RefSeq and is a predicted model, not a curated record.